GCUUACGGCCACACCGCCUGGUUAUACGCUUGAUCUCGGAAGAUAAGGAUAGGUUGGGCCUGGUUAGUACUUGGAUGGGAGACCGCCUGGGAAUACCAGGUGCUGUAAGCU
This 111-nucleotide ribosomal RNA is filed under the name Scophthalmus maximus (turbot). The record is from RNAcentral. Lineage: Eukaryota; Metazoa; Chordata; Actinopteri; Pleuronectiformes; Scophthalmidae.